This 293-nucleotide ribosomal RNA is filed under the name uncultured bacterium. RNAcentral describes it as "partial 16S ribosomal RNA". It matches the Rfam family "Bacterial small subunit ribosomal RNA", at positions 505 to 796 of the family's 1533-position model. The record is from RNAcentral.
GUGUCAGCAGCCGCGGUAAGACGAACCGUGCGAACGUUAAUCGGAUUCAUUGGGCUUAAAGGGCGCGUAGGCGGCGGCGUAAGUUCGUGGUGAAAUACCAUCGGCUCAACCGUGGAAUUGCUUCGAAUACUGCGUCGCUCGAGGGAGAUAGGGGACCGCAGAACUGCCGGUGGAGCGGUGAAAUGUGUUGAUAUCGGCGGGAAUGCCAGUGCCGAAAGGGGCGGUCUGGACCUCUUCUGACGCUGAGGCGCGAAAGCUAGGGGAGCGAACGGGAUUAGAUACCCCCGUAGUCC